CGUAGGGUGCGAGCGUUAAUCGGAAUUACUGGGCGUAAAGCGUGCGCAGGCGGUUUGUUAAGAUAGGCGUGAAAUCCCCGGGCUCAACCUGGGAACUGCGCUUAUGACUGGCAAGCUAGAGUACGGCAGAGGGGGGUGGAAUUCCACGUGUAGCAGUGAAAUGCGUAGAGAUGUGGAGGAACACCAAUGGCGAAGGCAGCCCCCUGGGUCGAUACUGACGCUCAUGCACGAAAGCGUGGGUAGCAAACAGGAUUAGAUACCCUGGUAGUCCACGCCCUAAACGAUGUCAACUAGGUGUUGGGUCUUUACUGACUCAGUAACGAAGCUAACGCGUGAAGUUGACCGCCUGGGGAGUACGGCCGCAAGGUUG
RNAcentral lists this ribosomal RNA (370 nucleotides) under uncultured organism. RNAcentral describes it as "bacterial SSU rRNA". It matches the Rfam family "Bacterial small subunit ribosomal RNA", at positions 526 to 896 of the family's 1533-position model. The record is from RNAcentral.